AUGAUGACUAAGCCGCACUCGGUGCUUCCUAGGGCCAGUGUGUUUGAUCAAGACUCAUUCCGUAAAAUGAUAAUCCAUGCUACUGAUGUUGGGAAGUCUACCUCAUCUUACGCGAGUGCUCCGAUACAAUACUACUCCCUUGUGUGCUAUGCUCGUUCCAAGCAUGGUGAGGUGGAGAAGUCAGACUCUAGGCACACCGCAAAGUCGCCACAGCGGCCAGCUACGUCCUGUGCUGGUAGCUCUGCCAAGUCCAGUCGCAAAGACCUACCCAGCCCAUCUCAUGCACCCCAUUUGAUUCACGAGAUGAUGCCGACCACAAUACGCAUGCUUGGACCUUAUGAUUUCUUGAAUCACCUAAACAGGCAGUACCCUCACCUGGCUAGUGAUGAGAUGACAGUCCUACUGUAG
Molecule: ribosomal RNA, 408 nt
Filed under: Triticum aestivum (bread wheat)
Lineage: Eukaryota; Viridiplantae; Streptophyta; Magnoliopsida; Poales; Poaceae
Description: partial small subunit ribosomal RNA
Source: RNAcentral